Molecule: ribosomal RNA, 160 nt
Filed under: uncultured Neisseria sp.
Lineage: Bacteria; Pseudomonadati; Pseudomonadota; Betaproteobacteria; Neisseriales; Neisseriaceae
Description: partial 16S ribosomal RNA
Rfam family: Bacterial small subunit ribosomal RNA
Source: RNAcentral
UGGGGAAUUUUGGACAAUGGGCGCAAGCCUGAUCCAGCCAUGCCGCGUGCGGGAAGAAGGCCUUCGGGUUGUAAACCGCUUUUGUCAGGGAAGAAAAGGCUCUCUCUAAUAAAGGGGGCUCAUGACGGUACCUGAAGAAUAAGCACCGGCUAACUACGUG